This 468-nucleotide ribosomal RNA is filed under the name uncultured bacterium. Its description in RNAcentral is "partial 16S ribosomal RNA". It matches the Rfam family "Bacterial small subunit ribosomal RNA", at positions 28 to 507 of the family's 1533-position model. The record is from RNAcentral.
GACGAACGCUGGCGGCGUGCUUAACACAUGCAAGUCGAACGGAAAGGCCCUGCUUUUGUGGGGUGCUCGAGUGGCGAACGGGUGAGUAACACGUGAGUAACCUGCCCUUGACUUUGGGAUAACUUCAGGAAACUGGGGCUAAUACCGGGUAGGAGCUCCUGCUGCAUGGUGGGGGUUGGAAAGUUCCGGCGGUUGGGGAUGGACUCGCGGCUUAUCAGCUUGUUGGUGGGGUAGUGGCUUACCAAGGCUUUGACGGGUAGCCGGCCUGAGAGGGUGACCGGCCACAAUGGGACUGAGAGACGGCCCAGACUCCUACGGGAGGCAGCAGUGGGGAAUAUUGCACAAUGGGCGGAAGCCUGAGGCAGCAACGCCGCGUGCGGGAUGACGGCCUUCGGGUUGUAAACCGCUGUCGCCUGUGACGAAGCGUGAGUGACAGUAAUGGGUAAAGAAGCACCGGCUAACUACGUG